This is a long non-coding RNA of Wasmannia auropunctata (little fire ant), 586 nucleotides long. RefSeq lists it as uncharacterized. NCBI's taxonomy places the organism in Eukaryota, Metazoa, Arthropoda, Insecta, Hymenoptera, Formicidae. The record is from RefSeq and is a predicted model, not a curated record. The transcript is spliced from 2 exons.
CUGCGCGAAGACUCAGUUUUUCGCUGAGUGGACCUACUGGUUAUACUGUGCCCUAAGAGCCUGCACAUGUCUUUUCCGAAGUUCGUCAACUUUUAUUUCAGGCGACAAAAAACGAAGCUACAUCACGCCAAAUACAACGACGACGAUAACUUUUAGGUUAUAUUCAGAGGUUUUUAGGUUACGUUCAGAUGUACGGUCAUGUUCAAAUUGUAGAUAUAUAUGACGAUAUUUCUCGACUUCAUGUGACAAAAAUAUUAGAAGCGAAAAAACAAAAGGCAGAAGGAGCACAUCUAGCAGCAUGAAUUCAUCAACUAUGACAGAAAUUCUAAAAAAAAAGAAACUAAAAGAGCAAGCUAUUAAAUUAAAAACGGAAAACAGAAUGCUAUGCGAAAGAAUAAGACGGCUUCAAAAGAAGAUGGAAAGGGUGGAAAGAACUAGAAAAAAUAAGGAAGAUCCUAAGGAACAUGAAACUCUUCAUCAAGAUUGUAAGUUACUGCAACUAGGUUGUAAGUUACUGCCCACAAAUGUAGCACAAUUAUUAUCUACACAUAAUGUUGCCCAAAUCAAAAGCAAACAUGGAAGAAGA